RNAcentral lists this long non-coding RNA (649 nucleotides) under Capsella rubella. RNAcentral's name for it is "long non-coding RNA (CRUB_LNC000440)". The record is from RNAcentral. Lineage: Eukaryota; Viridiplantae; Streptophyta; Magnoliopsida; Brassicales; Brassicaceae.
AUCAACCGAACAUGACUAUCCGAAGACACUUUCCAUCUAACUAUCUGCUUGCCGACCUACUCGCAUGGGAAUAUGCACUCCUUUUUCUACCCUUCCUUGGCCGAUAAACCUUUACAUUCAUGUAACAUUUCGUUCCCUUCAUGAAAGAUCUUAAACUUACCCGAAUGAACUUAUCCUCCUUUGCAUACUUAACCAUCCUUAGCAUUAAACAUUUCCCAAUGCUCAACACCUAACCAUUAUGCAUCCUUCCCGGACACAUUCUUCUUAUCAUGUCCUUAUCGAACCUUACUCAUCCGACACUUCAUACCGCAAAACAACAAAACUAGAGCACUUCCACUCUCAAUCUCCAAACAACAUUUUGGUUCAUGAUCGUGCCUUAGAAAACUUUCCAAGUUCACAUGGCAACAUUUCGUCUCACCUCAACAACGAAUCUUUGAUGGAACCAACUCUCAUGGCCCGAUAGCUUAGUCGUGAUUUUUGGUAUUCACCGAUUCCCUCCAGGUCAUAACCAUCCGCACUUCAUCUUGAGCCUUUCAAGAAUUAUCCUGAACUUCUUAAACUUUACGGAACUUACCACUUAUCCAGCUUCCUACGCACAUUCUCGGAUGACCCAUGAUCCUUGAACCUUUCCGGACUUUCGAUCCUAACG